RNAcentral lists this unclassified non-coding RNA (614 nucleotides) under Hevea brasiliensis (rubber tree). Lineage: Eukaryota; Viridiplantae; Streptophyta; Magnoliopsida; Malpighiales; Euphorbiaceae. The record is from RNAcentral.
GUCCAGGUCCCCCACGACCCUGCAAGAUAAGUAAAUGUAAUCCGUAUCCUUAGUAUUUUAAUCUUACAAUGAAAUCUGGCAUUUGAAACAACUACAAGGACUCAAAGCUGAAAAACAAUGAAAUGGCACAAGAGAUAAAGCAUAUCCAGGAAAUGUAGUAAUUAUGUAGCAUAUAUACAAGUGUCACCAAGUAAAGGGGGGAAAUACUAAUUUCAUCAAUUCUGCUUGCUCAAUCUGCCUUUAAGCCAGCAUUUAACAUCAACCUGCCUCCAGCAUAACUCCAGAAAAAUCUACACUAACCUUAAGAUCACUGACAGAGCUAGCAACCUAUACUUAUUUACAUAUCAACAAUCAAAGUAUCAAGCAUUUGAGUGAUCUGCCGUAUUGUGGCAUAAUUACUUCAUAUUUAUUUGUUGUUGAAAUUAAUUCCAGAUGAUCAUGAUGCACCUGUAGCCUCCACUGGUGCAUCAGUUCAUGACCAUGAUGGCACCACACUCUAAUCCCAAAUUUCAUAUUUUCUUCUACAAAGUACAUUAACAUUUGAUAGAAGAAGGGACAUGUUACUUCAUAUUCAUUUGUUGCGAUGAAUUCCUAAUAAUCUAUGAAAUUAGUAG